UACGUAGGGAGCAAGCGUUAUCCGGAUUUACUGGGUGUAAAGGGCGAGUAGGCGGGCCGACAAGUUGGGAGUGAAAUCCGGGGGCUUAACCCCCGAACUGCUUUCAAAACUGUUGGUCUUGAGUGAUGGAGAGGCAGGCGGAAUUCCCAGUGUAGCGGUGAAAUGCGUAGAUAUUGGGAGGAACACCAGUGGCGAAGGCGGCCUGCUGGACAUUAACUGACGCUGAGGCGCGAAAGCGUGGGGAGCAAACAGGAUUAGAUACC
This 263-nucleotide ribosomal RNA is filed under the name uncultured bacterium. RNAcentral describes it as "partial 16S ribosomal RNA". It matches the Rfam family "Bacterial small subunit ribosomal RNA", at positions 524 to 786 of the family's 1533-position model. The record is from RNAcentral.